UCAUUCGGAGGAGAGUGAUUCAGACGAGAGGAAUGGUAAUAACAGAGGAAGAUCUCCAGUUAGGGAGCUUGGCUUAGGCGAUGGGGUAGGGUCCGGUGACAGUUGCGUUUUCCAACGGUGGAAUCGGUUUUGCAACAAGGGCAAAAGGAAUUCCGCAAUGGAAUCUUGAAGAAUCUUUGACGAAGAAAAGAAACCUUGACGCUUUGGAAGAAAAUUAGAAAGUCCAAAAAAAAAAGAAUCAACACCUUGUGAUGUCCAUGGAAUGUUGAAUUUUCCUUUAUUCUUUCCAACUUGUAAGACACUUAUUAUGUUUAGAUGUGUUGUAAGCUUAGACUUAGAAACUUGUAACUCUUUGGAGAUGUGAUUUGAAAUUGUGAGCGAACUUGUUUUCCUUGUAAAUUUGGAACUUGUAUGAAAACUUGAAUUCCUGUGAUAUUGAAGCUUGUAUGAAGAAAUUGGAUUCUUGAGAAUGAAACUUGGAAUGAUGUCUUCAAAAACAUGUUUGAAACUUUGAUGAAAUUUGUC
Vicia faba (fava bean) is the source of this 525-nucleotide non-coding RNA. NCBI's taxonomy places the organism in Eukaryota, Viridiplantae, Streptophyta, Magnoliopsida, Fabales, Fabaceae. The record is from the annotation of a GenBank genome assembly.